This 382-nucleotide ribosomal RNA is filed under the name uncultured bacterium. RNAcentral describes it as "bacterial SSU rRNA". It matches the Rfam family "Bacterial small subunit ribosomal RNA", at positions 28 to 412 of the family's 1533-position model. The record is from RNAcentral.
GAUAAACGCUGGCGGCGUGCCUUAUGCAUGCAAGUCGAACGAGAUCAAGGCUUCGGCCUGAAGUCUAGUGGCGGACGGGUGAGUAACACGUACGUGACCUGUCUGGACGUGGGGAAUAACCAGCCGAAAGGUUGGCUAAUACCGCAUACGGUUACUGCUUGGAAGCAGCAAACCAAAGUCGCAAGACGCGUUCAGAGGGGCGUGCGGCCGAUUAGCUAGUUGGUGUGGAACGGCGCACCAAGGCGGUGAUCGGUAGCUGGUCUGAGAGGAUGGUCAGCCACACUGGGACUGAGACACGGCCCAGACUCCUACGGGAGGCAGCAGUGGGGAAUCUUGGACAAUGGGCGCAAGCCUGAUCCAGCCAUGCCGCGUGGGUGAAGAA